Molecule: long non-coding RNA, 333 nt
Filed under: Prunus persica (peach)
Lineage: Eukaryota; Viridiplantae; Streptophyta; Magnoliopsida; Rosales; Rosaceae
Description: long non-coding RNA (PPER_LNC001261)
Source: RNAcentral
AGACGACCCAGUCUUCAUCUGAGCAAUCCGAGGACCAGCAACAAGCUGGGGUUCCUUCGGAUUCAGAUUCCCUUAUACAUCGGAUUGGUCGGGACAACUCGAUCAGCUGCCUGAUUCGGUGCUCCAGGUCCGCUUAUGGACUGAUUGCCUGUUUGAACAAGAGCUUCCGCUCAUUAGUUAGGACCGGGGAGCUCUAUAAACUGAGGAGGCAGAAUGAUGUGAUUGAGCACUGGAUUUAUUUUUCUUGCCACCUACUUGAAUGGGAAGCCUUUGAUCCCAAUCAACGCCGGUGGAUGCACUUGCCGAGAAUGACGUCCAAUGAAUGUUUCAUGU